GUGCUUGCUUUGGUAGUACAUAUAUUAAAACUGGAACAAUCUAGAGAUUAGCAUGGCCUCUGCAAAAAAAAAAAAAAAAAAAGGUGAUCUGCAAAUUUGU
Molecule: small nuclear RNA, 100 nt
Filed under: Catagonus wagneri (Chacoan peccary)
Lineage: Eukaryota; Metazoa; Chordata; Mammalia; Artiodactyla; Tayassuidae
Source: RNAcentral